GACAGAGCCCACUUGAGGGUUUCUUUCCCCAUCAGCAGCAUCAACUGUUUUGAAACCACAUACAGCCAAUAAUCUCAGCUCCUGCCAAUAAUCUCAGCUACUUGGGAGGCUGAGGCAGGAGGAUCAAUUGAGCCCAGGAGUUCGAGGCCACGGUGAGCCAGGAACUCACCACUGCACUUUAGCCUGAGCGACAAAGAGAUAACCCAUAUCUUAAAAACAACAGCAACAAAACAACAAACAAACCAGAUACACGUGAAACGUCAGCCAACAGGGUGGUAGAUUAAUCUCACUGGUUUGGGCCUGGGUCCUGUGCCAUGUACUCACGUUUUGAUUUUUGGCAAGUCACAUAAUCUCCUUGGCCCUCGUUUUUGUUAGUGAAAAGUGGAGAUAAGAUCUGUCCCGGCUACUUGACUGAGCUAUGGAG
RNAcentral lists this long non-coding RNA (424 nucleotides) under Homo sapiens (human). RNAcentral's name for it is "HSALNT0243703". Lineage: Eukaryota; Metazoa; Chordata; Mammalia; Primates; Hominidae. The record is from RNAcentral.